RNAcentral lists this ribosomal RNA (846 nucleotides) under uncultured bacterium. Its description in RNAcentral is "bacterial SSU rRNA". It matches the Rfam family "Bacterial small subunit ribosomal RNA", at positions 8 to 852 of the family's 1533-position model. The record is from RNAcentral.
AGAGUUUGAUCAUGGCUCAGGAUGAACGCUGGCGGCGUGCUUAACUCAUGCAAGUCGAGCGAAGCGCUUUACUUGGAUUUCUUCGGAAUGACGAGUAUUGUGACUGAGCGGCGGACGGGUGAGUAACGCGUGGGUAACCUGCCUCAUACAGGGGGAUAACAGUUAGAAAUGACUGCUAAUACCGCAUAAGACCACAGCACCGCAUGGUGCAGAGGUAAAAACUCCGGUGGUAUGAGAUGGACCCGCGUCUGAUUAGCUGGUUGGUGGGGUAACGGCCUACCAAGGCGACGAUCAGUAGCCGGCCUGAGAGGGCGACCGGCCACAUUGGGACUGAGACACGGCCCAAACUCCUACGGGAGGCAGCAGUGGGGAAUAUUGCACGAUGGGGGAAACCCUGAUGCAGCGACGCCGCGUGAAGGAAGAAGUAUUUCGGUAUGUAAACUUCUAUCAGCAGGGAAGAAAAUGACGGUACCUGACUAAGAAGCCCCGGCUAACUACGUGCCAGCAGCCGCGGUAAUACGUAGGGGGCAAGCGUUAUCCGGAUUUACUGGGUGUAAAGGGAGCGUAGACGGAGAGGCAAGUCUGAUGUGAAAACCCGGGGCUCAACCCCGGGACUGCAUUGGAAACUGUUUUUCUAGAGUGUCGGAGAGGUAAGCGGAAUUCCUAGUGUAGCGGUGAAAUGCGUAGAUAUUAGGAGGAACACCAGUGGCGAAGGCGGCUUACUGGACGAUGACUGACGUUGAGGCUCGAAAGCGUGGGGAGCAAACAGGAUUAGAUACCCUGGUAGUCCACGCCGUAAACGAUGACUACUAGGUGUCGGGUGGCAAAGCCAUUCGGUGCCGCAGC